Long non-coding RNA from Ostrea edulis (European flat oyster), 518 nucleotides. RefSeq lists it as uncharacterized. The record is from RefSeq and is a predicted model, not a curated record. The transcript is spliced from 3 exons. Lineage: Eukaryota; Metazoa; Mollusca; Bivalvia; Ostreida; Ostreidae.
CCGAGGAAUCUCGGAUUAUGUAAAAGACUGCGAAUGACGAAACUAUCAGCGACAUAGACUGUGCUCAGUGCUAUUUUGGAAAUCCGACAAGAUGCUGUUAUGAAGUCAUCUUGUGGAAGAAAAAAAAAAGUCCACAAAAACAAGACAACAGAACAAUGCUUACAGAACAAUGCUUACCUGUGGCGAAGCACAUUGCCACUAACAGAGCUACCGCUAGAGAUCCCUCCAUUUCUGAAAAGAAUGUACAAAACUUUCACCAAAGACAGCGCAAUGAAUACAACUGAAGGUCGUUUGAAAGUUUUGUCCUCAGGCUACGUAUGUUCAAACCCAAACCGAGGCAAUCUGACAACCUAAAUUAUUGUAAUAUGUCAGAAUAUAAAACAGGAGCUACAUUACGGACUUGCCUGAUCUCAAGCUCAUCCCCCAAAGUGCAACCUAAAACCCUUUCCACUGCUUCUUUGGUAUCCUUUUCAACGUCAUCACUUUUACUGAAAUAAUAACAGUGAAUGAAAGGCAUA